AUAAAAUUAUCAUACAAAUUUUUAUUGUAUGUAGUAAGCAAGAUAAAAUAUGGCUAAAAUAAUAACGAUCAUACAAAUUUUUACGAUUAUCAUGCUUUUCAUCUUUGUCAUUGUAACUGACGCAAGUUAUCCAUGCAAAAUUCAUAGAGAUUGUACUACUAUUACGUGUAGUUAUCCUCUAGUUCCAAGGUGCUUAAUUCAAAAAUGUUAUUGCGGGUUUAAUUAAGAAUUAAGUUCAAAAAUAAUUUCAUGAUACUUUUAAGAAUAUAAUUGUAUAUGCAAUUAUAUUGUUGGUACUUUUAUGAUUUCUCUCGCUCAUCGAUCUUUGUUCGUCAUCCAUAUAAAAUAAUUGUAAAAUGGUCAUUAGUGCCACCGUUAUUAAUAAUUUUUUUUCUCUAAAUUUGAAUAAAAAAAUUGUUAGUAGUAACUUUAAAUUUAUUUGAUCGAGUCAAAAUCAUAUUAUCAUAUUAUUGAAGUGUUAAUCCAUUCAUUUGCUUUUUGAAGUAAUUGAAAAUCGUGUAAAUCAAUUUUUGGGAACAUAUAAACACACUUCAAAAUAAUAGAUGAAUAUAAUGAAUAAUAUUUUUAGGAUUAAGGAUCACAAGAUAUGAUGGAAAAAAAUAUAUCUCGUCAGUGGAAAAACUUCAUAAAAGAUAACUGCACACAUAUGAGUUUUUUAUUUAUUUAUUUAUUUAUUUUUUAUUUUUUUACUGUUGACGGAGUUUCAUAUGAUAUUUUAGUGUAUGUUUGUAGUUAGAUUUUUUUUUUGUAUUUGAAGACAAAUGAGAGGUCAUUUAGAGGAUUUGGUCAUGGUUUGACGAACAUUUUGUAUUGUUUUCAUUUGAGUCAUUGUAAUUCACUUUAAUCCAAAUAAUGCAACUAGGUUGGUGUUUUGAAUCUUUUUAACAAAAAAUCAUGUAAAUCGGCAAAACAAGAUAUCGCGUGAAGCAUCGAGGAUAUGAAAAAUGAAGAUAAAUGGUUCUUAGAAUAUUUUUUAAGACAGUACAAGUUGGUGAAAAUUCUUCCCAAGUCCCGAGGCAUUUCAAGAUGGAAGAGCGCUAGAAAAAGUAAUGAAAACUGCAAAAUUCGCACAUUAGCUAAUGCCCCAUGCAUCCCUGCGCAUGAGUCAUCCCUGGCUACUAGUCCAUAUGUAACACCCUAAACCUCAUAUGCAAUAAUCAUGCAAUUAAUUCAAUAAAUCAAAGAGUUUAGAUGCUA
This is a long non-coding RNA of Medicago truncatula (barrel medic), 1218 nucleotides long. RefSeq lists it as uncharacterized. The record is from RefSeq and is a predicted model, not a curated record. The transcript is spliced from 2 exons. Lineage: Eukaryota; Viridiplantae; Streptophyta; Magnoliopsida; Fabales; Fabaceae.